GAGUUUGAUCCUGGCUCAGGAUGAACGCUUGCUGUGUGCCUAAUACAUGCAUGUUGAACGGGGUCUUUAUGACCUAGUAGCGAAUGGGUGAGUAACACGUACCUAACCUACCUUUUAGAUUGGGAUAACUAUUGGAAACAAUAGCUAAUACCGAAUACGUAUUAAGAUUGCAUGAUUUUUUUAUAAAAGGGGCGUUUGCCUCGCUAAAAGAUGGGGGUGCGGCAUAUUAGCUAGUUGGUAGGGUAAAGGCCUACCAAGGCAAUGAUAUGUAGCCGGACUGAGAAGUUGAUCGGCCACACUGGGACUGAGAUACGGCCCAGACUCCUACGGGAGGCAGCA
Molecule: ribosomal RNA, 339 nt
Filed under: Mesomycoplasma hyorhinis
Lineage: Bacteria; Bacillati; Mycoplasmatota; Mycoplasmoidales; Metamycoplasmataceae
Description: bacterial SSU rRNA
Rfam family: Bacterial small subunit ribosomal RNA
Source: RNAcentral